UUUGGAAUUCCAGAAACAACCAACGAAGAAAGAGAAAAGAAGAAGUUGUGUGGAAUGGGAGAAGACACGAUUCACUUUGGGCAAUAAAUUUUUAUUUUUUAUAUUUAUCUUGUAGCAGGUUACCCGGUUAAUUGGAAAGGGUAUCAUAGUAUUAUUAUGUAUAUAUGACGCCGUCUAUGCAUCCGUUAGGUAAAAGCGUUAGUGUAUGAAUUACUCUUUUUUUCAUGGCUAUAGCUCCCAAUUUCCCCAUAUUUAUUCGACGGAAUUACCCUUAUCUGAAUACCAACGCCGUUAGAUUCUCUAGUGUCCGUUAAAUGUUUUUGUUUUUAUGAUUUUUUAUUAACUAAAGGGAAAUUAACAUAGAUAACCAUAAAAAAGUAUAAUUCUUUUUUUUUUCAUAAAAAAAAGAAGUAUAAUUCAUGUUGUGUAUAAUAUGUUAUAUGAACAAAAUUUGGGUUCAUCCCCAAUCAAAACGCCACGUAGGACGGAUUAAAAAAAUAGCUAUUAAGAAAAAAAAAGAAGAUCACAUUCUAUUCUUCUUCA
Molecule: long non-coding RNA, 543 nt
Filed under: Brassica rapa (field mustard)
Lineage: Eukaryota; Viridiplantae; Streptophyta; Magnoliopsida; Brassicales; Brassicaceae
Description: long non-coding RNA (BRAP_LNC006437)
Source: RNAcentral